Molecule: ribosomal RNA, 414 nt
Filed under: uncultured bacterium
Lineage: Bacteria
Description: bacterial SSU rRNA
Rfam family: Bacterial small subunit ribosomal RNA
Source: RNAcentral
UGAGGAAUAUUGGUCAAUGGGGGCAACCCUGAACCAGCCAAGUCGCGUGAAGGAUGAAGGUCUUAUGGAUUGUAAACUUCUUUUAUACAGGAAUAAAUUGGGGGACGUGUCCCCUUUUGCAUGUACUGUAUGAAUAAGGAUCGGCUAACUCCGUGCCAGCAGCCGCGGUAAUACGGAGGAUCCGAGCGUUAUCCGGAUUUAUUGGGUUUAAAGGGUGCGCAGGCGGGAUGUUAGGUCGGCGGUGAAAUUUUGCAGCUCAACUGUAAAAGUGCCUUCGAUACUGGCCUCCUUGAGUGUGGAUGAAGUAGGCGGAAUUUGCGGUGUAGCGGUGAAAUGCUUAGAUAUCACGAGGAACUCCGAUUGCGCAGGCAGCUUACUAAGCCACAACUGACGCUCAUGCACGAAGGCGUGGGG